GACGAACGCUGGCGGCGUGCUUAACACAUGCAAGUCGAACGGAAAGGCCCUGCUUUUGUGGGGUGCUCGAGUGGCGAACGGGUAAGUAACACGUGAGUAACCUACCCUUGACUUUGGGAUAACUUCAGGAAACUGGGGCUAAUACCGGAUAGGAGCUCCUGCUGCAUGGUGGGGGUUGGAAAGUUUCGGCGGUUGGGGAUGGACUCGCGGCUUAUCAGCUUGUUGGUGGGGUAGUGGCUUACCAAGGCUUUGACGGGUAGCCGGCCUGAGAGGGUGACCGGCCACAUUGGGACUGAGAUACGGCCCAGACUCCUACGGGAGGCAGCAGUGGGGAAUAUUGCACAAUGGGCGGAAGCCUGAUGCAGCAACGCCGCGUGCGGGAUGACGGCCUUCGGGUUGUAAACCGCUUUCGCCUGUGACGAAGCGUGAGUGACGGUAAUGGGUAAAGAAGCACCGGCUAACUACGUG
This 468-nucleotide ribosomal RNA is filed under the name uncultured bacterium. RNAcentral describes it as "partial 16S ribosomal RNA". It matches the Rfam family "Bacterial small subunit ribosomal RNA", at positions 28 to 507 of the family's 1533-position model. The record is from RNAcentral.